Saccostrea cuccullata (small rock oyster) is the source of this 174-nucleotide long non-coding RNA. RefSeq lists it as uncharacterized. NCBI's taxonomy places the organism in Eukaryota, Metazoa, Mollusca, Bivalvia, Ostreida, Ostreidae. The record is from RefSeq and is a predicted model, not a curated record. The transcript has 3 exons.
GUGAUAACCGAAAUAGUUAAUGGACCUGGAGUUUGCAAGGAUAACAGUGGAAAUCUGAGAUGUUGCAUUAAUUAUCAACAACACGGCUAUGACUGCAAACCCUGUGAAAUAGGUACAUAUGGUUUAAACUGUUCUGGAGGAUUAUGUCCUAAUGGAUACUAUGGAUUUGGCUGU